UGGAGGUGAUGUGACAUUACCCACCUGACUAACACUGGAGGGAAAGACUGAUUUAAUGAGGCUGAUCC
Hypanus sabinus (Atlantic stingray) is the source of this 68-nucleotide small nucleolar RNA. The record is from RefSeq and is a predicted model, not a curated record. NCBI's taxonomy places the organism in Eukaryota, Metazoa, Chordata, Chondrichthyes, Myliobatiformes, Dasyatidae.